Molecule: unclassified non-coding RNA, 206 nt
Filed under: Hevea brasiliensis (rubber tree)
Lineage: Eukaryota; Viridiplantae; Streptophyta; Magnoliopsida; Malpighiales; Euphorbiaceae
Source: RNAcentral
GAACUGUCUGAAAAAUAUGGCUCUGAAGAAUGCUGGAAAGACAUAUUUUCUUUUCUUGUUGAAACUAUGGAGGCUGCUGUGAGAUCAUCGCAUGAAACUUCUAAUGUGGACGCUAAAGUGUACUAUCUACUUGAUAAGGAAAAGACGGAUACUGAAAAAUAUGCUCCAGUUGUAAACAUUGAUAAGGCAUUUGAAUCACCCCACAC